GGCUACUUUAAAUUAUUCUUAUUUCCCAUAAUGUCCCAGAGAAGGAGUAAAUUGCAUAUAAUUUCUUGAUACAAGACGAGCUAUUCAUUUUGUUCUGGGUCAGGAGAGACACGCUGUGAUAGGCUCACCUGCCGCAAGCUUGUUAAUUAUGGAAAUGUGAGUUAGAAUCAGCUGUCACUAUUAUGCAGCGGAGCCACUCUCACGAGGGAGCGAUGUGUGUGUGUGUGAGUAAGCAGGCUCUUUCAUUUUAAGCCGUGCAGUGAACAUGCAUGUCAUGGACAGGGGCUGCUUUGGGCCACUGCACAUCUCAGGAGACUUCAUUAAUUAUUCAACCCUUUGACUCCCAGAGAGACGAGCCCAUUCGCUGUACGUGGCCGGUAACCCCAGAAAAAGACCAUUAGGCCUACAGGUUACCUGAGUAUGCAGAAUAGAAAUGAUGCGUUGCUAUGGAACCAGCCACAUGAAGAUUCGGCAUUUAAUAACAAGAACAUCUACAGGACUGACGCUAAUUUGGGAGGGAACGCUGAAAGAAGCGUGUAUUGUAUGUAUGCAGAAGCAACCACAUGUGCAUCCGGGGAGGAAGAGGCGGUCAGCUCAUGUUGAUUUUAAUACGGGUUUCUGCACACGUUGCCGUCAGGACUGAAUUUACUGAGGCAGAAAGAGUCUCAAGUCUCUCUCGUUCCAGGCUGAGAAUCAAUGCCACAUUGAUUUUCCUAUCAAUGGACAUUAUCAUAGAUCAGGCAUCUGCUAGCACUGGCCUCAAUCCACGUGCCGCCUGUUGCCACGGGGACAGAGAGAUUUCAUCACUCCUCGCUCUCUGACAGACAGACUGACAGAGAGAGAGAUGGCUAAAAAGCAAGGGAUGGCAGGGAAAUGCAUGCACACACGCAGAGUAGAGGAUCAAUACCUGAAGUGCAGAGGAUAUUGAGUCAGAGGGGAUGUUGGAUUUGACUACCGGAGGAAAAAAAAGUGCAGCUUUUGUCACCGAGCAAGCAGGUUUCAGAGAUCUCCUGGAGUUUGCACAUAAAAUGCGUAUCCUUGUUUGUGUGACGGCUUCAUGACAGAAAAAUAUCUGCAACAGAAUGUAAUUAGCCAAAAAAUACAUGCACAAACUCACUCUAAGAGCUUUUGCACAUAUUCAUAAACAUACACAAUUAUCGAAUACCAACAUCGGAGAGAUAUAAGCUGUAGAUCGAUCCUUUGCGGAGACACUGACAACACAUUCAUGGGAAAAUAACAAAUACAAAAAUCAGCUCAUAUCUGCAACAAGCCGCUUGAUAGGAGUUGAAGCAAAUAUGGUUAGAGAAGAUAAUUUCCUCAUAUGUGUGUAUGUGAAUGCUUGAUUUCGUCUAUCCCCAGUGGAAGCUGUGAAGCCUGAGGCCUAAUGACCAUUUCAGAGCUCUCUCGCUUAAACGUGACAUCCACUUUCCUCUGUAUCACAUACCCCGUGCUUGAAUUUGCACAGUAUGACUCAUGGACAUACAAGUGACACCUUGCAGAUUGUGUGGACUGGGUUCAAGUAAACAGACAGAAGCUCUGGACACCGUAGGCUGUGCAGUUAACCCAUGGAGGGCACCAUAGAGGAUUAGUCCAGUGGAGGAGGAGGGGAAGCAGGGAAACCUUUCCACCACUGCUCCACCACUACACAAAAUACAUGUAGUGCAUGCUCAAACAUUUGCUUCAUACCUAAAAAUAAGCAUUUGUUUUAAAUAGAGUGCUGCAGUGAUGAUGUAUUUUUGAAGGCCAUCCUAGAAGUUAGCAUCACCCUUAUUGCCUCAACAGAAAAACAACAGAAUUUUCCACAAGCUUUCGAAUAUUGCAGAAAAUAAGAUCUGUUACCAAAAAGUUUUAUAAUUACACAUUUUGUUCAUCAUAAUCUUUUAAGCCUAAAUACAAUCACCAGAAGUAAAAAAGCUAAAAGUAGGCAUCACCACUUUAGAUGAUGAUUUCAACAACUCUUUAUUUAAAAUAAAUUUUCCCUGAAAGUUUGAGUUAAGAUUGUUUGCAAGAGUGGGAUUAUAAACACAAUGAGGCUAUAGUGUAGACGCAAACUUAGAAAGUUAGUUUCGGUGUGAUGAUGUUUGAUGUCCC
This is a long non-coding RNA of Cyprinus carpio carpio, 2091 nucleotides long. The record is from Ensembl. Lineage: Eukaryota; Metazoa; Chordata; Actinopteri; Cypriniformes; Cyprinidae.